AUGAGACUCUUUUUAUACGGAGAACAAGCUGCUCACGCAACAAGUGAAGGGCUUGAUGCUGCGGGUCAUGCUUUGGGUACUGCUUGGGUUGCAUUUAAGAUUAGGAAGGCUAUCAAUCCUAAGAGUGUUAUUAAACCUACCACCCUGGCCAAAUCUGUUGCUAAAGCUGCAGCUUCCGAUUAUAAGUCUAGUAAGUCCAAAUAA
Non-coding RNA from Vicia faba (fava bean), 204 nucleotides. Lineage: Eukaryota; Viridiplantae; Streptophyta; Magnoliopsida; Fabales; Fabaceae. The record is from the annotation of a GenBank genome assembly.